Molecule: ribosomal RNA, 259 nt
Filed under: Rothia koreensis
Lineage: Bacteria; Bacillati; Actinomycetota; Actinomycetes; Micrococcales; Micrococcaceae
Description: Kocuria koreensis partial 23S ribosomal RNA
Rfam family: Bacterial large subunit ribosomal RNA
Source: RNAcentral
GAGCCAAUGUCCGAGUACCAAGCGCUACGGUGCUGAAGUAACUCAUGCCACACUCCCAAGAAAAGCUCGAACGACCUUAAGCAAGUGGGUACCUGUACCCGAAACCGACACAGGUAGGUAGGUAGAGAAUACCUAGGGGCGCGAGACAACUCUCUCUAAGGAACUCGGCAAAAUAGCCCCGUAACUUCGGGAGAAGGGGUGCCUUCUAAGAAGGUCGCAGUGACCAGGCCCAGGCGACUGUUUACCAAAAACACAGGUC